This 94-nucleotide ribosomal RNA is filed under the name Listeria monocytogenes. Lineage: Bacteria; Bacillati; Bacillota; Bacilli; Caryophanales; Listeriaceae. The record is from RNAcentral.
UCUGGUAGUUAUGGCGAGAAGGUCACACCCGUUCCCAUCCCGAACACGGUAGUUAAGCUUCUCUGCGCCAAUGGUAGUUGGGGGCUUCCCCCUG